RNAcentral lists this ribosomal RNA (492 nucleotides) under uncultured bacterium. RNAcentral's name for it is "partial 16S ribosomal RNA". It matches the Rfam family "Bacterial small subunit ribosomal RNA", at positions 30 to 507 of the family's 1533-position model. The record is from RNAcentral.
AUUGAACGCUGGCGGCAUGCUUUACACAUGCAAGUCGAACGGUAACAGGCCUUCGGGUGCUGACGAGUGGCGAACGGGUGCGUAAUGCAUCGGAACGUGCCCAGAGGUUGGGGAUAACGCAUCGAAAGCUGUGCUAAUACCUCAUGUGAUCUGAGGAUGAAAGCGGGGGACCAGGCAGCAAUGUUUGGCCUCGCGCCUUUGUAGCGGCCGAUGUCAGAUUAGGUAGUUGGUGGGGUAAAGGCCUACCAAGCCGACGAUCUGUAGCUGGUCUGAGAGGACGACCGGCCACACUGGGACUGAGACACGGCCCAGACUCCUACGGGAGGCAGCAGUGGGGAAUUUUGGACAAUGGGCGCAAGCCUGAUCCAGCAAUGCCGCGUGCGGGAAGAAGGCCUUCGGGUUGUAAACCGCUUUUGUACGGAAAGAAAAGGCUCUGGCUAAUACCUGGGGCUGAUGACGGUACCGUAAGAAUAAGCACCGGCUAACUACGUG